GUAGAGGAGGGAUGAAGGGGUGAGUAGAGGAGGGGUGAAUGAGUGAAUAGAGAAGGGGUGAGUAGAGGAGGGAUGAAGGGGUGAAUAGAGGGAUGAAGGGGUGAAUAGAGGAGGGGUGAAUAGAGGAGGGAUGAAGGGGUGAAUAGAGGAGGGAUGCAGGGGUGAAUAGAGGGAUGAAGGGGUGAAUAGAGGAGGGGUGAAUAGAGGAGGGAUGAAGGGGUGAAUAGAGGAGGGAUGAAGGGGUGAGUAGAGGAGGGAUGAAGGGGUGAAUAGAGGAGGGAUGAAGGGGUGAGUAGAGGUGGGAUGAAGAGGUGAGUAGAGGAGGGAUGAAGGGGUGAAUAGAGGAGGGAUGAAGGGGUGAAUAGAGGAGGAUUGAAAUGUCACCGUGCCAACAGUAAACUGUUUAAUCUACAGUGUUUUAUGAAUGACAUAUACAUUGCAAUCCCCCGAACCUCUCCCAACCCUCCAACUCAAAACCCACUCACAGUGCAGAGGUAGGCCCAUUCAGGCUUGCAGUGGAGUAGUAUAGACUAUCAAUCAGACCUGGCUAUGUCUCACCAUGGAGAAGACAGGCCAGAGUAGCCUAUGGAUCAGACCUGGCUAUAUCUCACCAUGGAGAAGACAGGCCAGAGUAGCCUAUGGAUCAGACCUGGCUAUAUCUCACCAUGGAGAAGACAGGCCAGAGUAGCCUAUGGAUCAGACCUGGCUAUAUCUCGCCAUGGAGAAGACAGGCCAGAGUAGCCUAUGGAUCAGACCUGGCUAUAGCUCACAGGGUAGGAAUGCCUAUGGUUCAAGCCUGCUUGACUGGCCAUCCUUCUCUCUGGAGAAACAAAGGCAGCCUAUAGCUAUAGCAGCCUGCGUUUCAGGGCAGGUCUAGCGAUCCAUUCUUCACAGUGAGGCCACAGUAUAGCAGCCUGUGGUUCAGGGCAG
Molecule: long non-coding RNA, 930 nt
Filed under: Salmo salar (Atlantic salmon)
Lineage: Eukaryota; Metazoa; Chordata; Actinopteri; Salmoniformes; Salmonidae
Description: lncRNA (ENSSSAG00000120276.1)
Source: RNAcentral